Phalacrocorax carbo (great cormorant) is the source of this 2797-nucleotide non-coding RNA. Lineage: Eukaryota; Metazoa; Chordata; Aves; Suliformes; Phalacrocoracidae. The record is from RefSeq and is a predicted model, not a curated record.
GAUGCUGGGGAAGGGUUCCCUGCCGCUGUGCUCGUGGUCCUGGAGCCCCUCCCUGUCCUGAGGCCCCCUGUCCCCUGGGAUGCGCUACAAAGGCAGCCCUGCUCCCCAGCAGGCAUGGGGUCGUGUCUCCCCCCGGCCAAAUGCUGCUCCCACUCCGUGGUCCCCAAAGAGAAGGGUGGUGGUGGGAGUUUCCCUCCAUGCACCCCUUCAACGGCCACAUCCCUCGUGGCAGCUGGGAGUGGCAGGGUUGGGGUCCUGUGUGCCCCACCUCAUCAAUGGGGCAGCCAGGAAGGAUGCUGGGGAAAUGCUGUGCCAGGCAACCCACGAGUGAGAUACCUGGCUGCAAUGCUCUUGGAGGCUUUACUGGGAUGAGAGGGGUUUGUCUGGUCGGUUCUGGUUGUGGGACAGAUGGGAUGGCGUUGACCCAAGGUGGCCGUGCUCCAUGUGUUAGCGGUUUCUGCCGUGCCUGCAGAAGUACUCCCCGUGACUGCAUGUCCUUGGAAGCGUUGUGAAUGGUAGAAAGCCUCAAGCGUGUGUCCUGGGGAUGCAACACCUCCAACACCACUCUCUGGCUUUCCCCUGCCUUCAGGGCUCUGCAAAACAACCCACUCAUCUUGCUCUCAAACUCCUCGUGCCCCAGGAGAGGGGAUAUCGGCGCUGACUCAGCUUUCCAGCCCUUCUUUCCCUACAGGAUAUGUGAGCCGGUUCUCCCACUGCCUGAGUGCAUGAGCUGCCUGUUUUCCUGGUGAACUUUACCUCCCUGCCGGGGAAGCUUCCUCCCUGCUGCCAGGCUGGUUGAAAGCCCUCCUCCCCUUGCAGCCAGUCUCUGGAUGUGUGCCCAGUAUGAGGUGGCAGAGAGAGCUGUGGCUGACACAGGGAGACCCCGACCUUGCUUGCGGCUCAGGAAACCCAUUUAGAAAAAGCAGCUGAGCUGCAAGUGAUGAUCUGAAGCCAGGUGAGGUGUAUCUGAUGACAUUUGAGAAGGUGCUGGAGAUAAAUGCUUUCCAAGAGGAUCCUGCGCACCUUUCUGGCUGCGUACGCAGCCUGGAGGCAGCAUCUUCUGUGAUGGAUGGGGGGGCCACUGCUGGACUCACCUCACCCCAUCGCUCCAUCUCUUCUGUGCCAUUGGCGGGGUGCUCUCACUGGCUUUCCAGUCCUCCAGUGACAUUUCUCAUCCCUUGGGAACCAACGUGUGUGGAGCAGUGGUGCUGCUGCCCUCCAGGAAGAUGUGUACUGUCCUGCUGAGAGCUGAUGCUCAGAGGAGGCACUGUUAGGUGGGAGGUGGUGGAGAAGAAACCUGCAACGGUGUUGGCUGAUACUGAAACCCCCUGAAUAUCAGGGAGUGGGAGAAAGUCCCUGACUCUGUGGGUGGAGGAAGGUAUGUGGUAGCAGCACAUGUGUGGUUUUUGGCUUUUAAUGUAGGACUUAAUUAGCCUAGAGAGCUUGUUGCCAAAGAUAUAAUUGAAGCAAGGAGCUGAACGGGAUUAGAAAAUGAUUUGGACAUUUUUGUACAGCUAAUGGGGGCUUCCGACAUUGCCUUACUGGGGAUUUGGAGCCACUGGGAGAAAUGUGAGAGCAGAGGCUGCGGGCAUGGGGAGAGCUGGAGUGGGCUCAAGGGCAAAAAUGUGUUGCGUUAGGUGGGAGCAAGCAAAGAGUGGAGAGGGAAGGACAUGGUGGAAGGCAACCAUCAGAAACUGGGAAAGAUGUGGCUGAUACACUCUGGGUGCUAUCUGCCUGGAUUUGGGUUAAUGGAGAGUUUGCUCAGGCACUUGUGAGGCCACCUCCUAUGCUUGGAAGGCUUGGCUCCACUAUUAAUGAGCGAGAAACCUUCAUUAAAGAGAAAGCCACUGGGUGUCAUGUUGCGAUGUUGCAGGCUGAUGUCCCACAUCCUUCCCAGUUGCCAGGAGCAGGGUUGCCUCUGGGGUGAGUGGCAGCUCUGUGGCACAGCCAGUGGGUUGCCUCGGUGGUGCCAGGCGUAUUUGCCAGCUCUGCCCACAUAAUUGCACAUCUCUGUCAUUCAGCAUGUUUUCUGUUUCUCUGCUCUAUUUCCUUCCCUGAUGGUGUGUGUGAGAGCAGACCACGGGCCAAAAAACCUCAAUGGCCUUGAGGCAUGAACACAGCUAAUAAACACUUUGGGGGUGAAGGGAUGGUUCCUGCAAACCAAAAAUGGGGUGGCUUUUGCCUCCCAACAAGCGUUGGGGGCUGGGGGGGAGCAGGACACCACCAUCACCCCUGCCGAUGGGGCUGCUCGGGGGACAAAGCUCUGGAGACUUGCUGUGCUCCCAGCUCUGACCAGCAGCACUGUUUGGCAGGAGCAUCCCCAGUGCCGGGGGCUUUCUCAGGGAGCAACAUCUGGUCCGGAACAUCCCGUGUCUGCUGGUUUUCAGUUGAAAAGGUUGCUUUUGUGGAAUUUUUAUUGCUUUUUUUGGCAUCGCCUCCCAGCCCUUUUCUGAGAUGGAAAUUGGUCAUUAGUAGAUUUUAUUGUAUUUUUAUUUUAUUCCCAAGCUCAAUCUGCUGGUUUCCUCCUCCCAGGGGACUGGAAGAUCUGGCCGUUCCUCUAACCCUGUUCCCAGGUUGUGGGAGGCUGUUUGAACAGCCUAGGGUGGGAAUAGCAUCCAGGCACCUGGAUUCUGUAGCUCGCCAGCUUGCCAGCCCAGCAUACCAUCCCCAUGCUCUUCCCACCAUCACCACUGGCAUAAAUCUCCAUCAGCUCGACAGCCCUUGAAGCUAUCUCUGAUUUUAUAAUUCAUAAGUAAGCCACCUGCUUCCCCUCCAGUAAAUGCUGUAGUCAGACAAA